CUGAAGCAUACAGAGGCUGAGGAGAGAAUAGAGAUGCCUGCCUGGGGUAUUCCUUACACAUGUUCCAGGGCUGCUUGCCCCUUUCUCUUUUCUUCUAAAUUCACCAGAUUCCCGUUUUUUUCUUCUAAGGCAAAUCUCUGAUCCGGACACAGGCAAGAAUUUAAAAAGUAGCGAAGAUCCUGAUCAUCAGUCAAUGCUGGACUGAGGAUAGUGUGGUGGGGGAUUUGAUGCACCAGCCUGAGCCAUGGCUCAUGGGAGGAAGUCAGAGAAGAUCACCAGAAUCCUGGGGCCCAGCCCUCCAUCCUGCCCUGGCCAUGCUGGAUUCAUAGAGAAAAAGCCAGGGACUAUUAGGAGAAUAUUGGCCCCCAGCCCUCCACCCUGCCCUGGAUCCAAAGGAUCCACAGAAGAGUCUAAUGAAGGACCUCAUAAUGAAGGACCUCAGAAAGAAAGACCACAGAGUUUGAGGAGUAUGGACCCUCCGCCCUGCCGUGGCCCCUUAUCCACAGGGGAGCCUACUGAUGAAGGACUGAUGAGCCUACUGAUGAGUCUGAGCAGCAAAGGGCCAACUAUAGAACCUCAUAAUGGGCCUCGGAGUCUGAAGAGUGAGGACCAUCCUCAGCACUCUCAGAGCACCAGCAUUGAGGAGCUGGACAAUAACAAUGAUGAGAGGACCCCUGGGUCUGCAACACCUGUCCCUGUCCCUGCUAGUGCAACACAGGCCCACCCAAACCAAGCCUACAGCCACCUGACUCAGGCAACACAUGCCCACCCAAACCAAGCCUACAGCCACCUGACUCAGGCAACACAGGCCCACCCAAACCAAGCCUACAGCCACCUGACUCAAGGCCAGAACUACCCUCAGCAGCCAGAUGCCCAGUCCCAUCCCCGACAUCCCCAGCAGCAUUGCAGAGAGAGUCCAAACAGCCCCAGCACCAGGCCCACCUCUGACUCCCCAUCCAGUCAGGAGAGCAAGCCCAGGACUGUUAAACCACCACCUGUCCUUACCAGUGCCAAUCCUAACCAGCCGUAUCUGAUUAGUCCCUCCGGUUCACCUCUUCCUGUCCCUGCUACAGCGAGUGUCUCCUCUGAGCCCCCGCUGAACCAGCCCGGUGACACCAUCAUCCCUGACAGCAUGGAUGAGGAGGAAGAGGAGGAGGAGGACAGCUGCUCAGAGUAUGACAACGUGGGUUCGGACGUGGAGGGUGUGGAGCAAGACAUUGAUCAGGUACUACAGGUGGAAGACCAGAGUAUGCAGGUGAGGUACUACAAACACUAUCCUGAGCCUCAGGAUGGAAGUUAUGUAGAUAGUGAGGAUGGCAUCUAUGUGGAACACCAAGACAGAACCUACGCAGAACACCAAGACAGAACCUACGCAGAACACCAAGACAGAACCUACGCGGAACACCAAGACAGAACCUACACGGAACACCAAGACAGGACCUACGUGGAACACCAAGACAGAACCUACGCGGAACACCAAGACAGAACCUACGUGGAACACCAAGACGGAACCUACGUGGAAUGUGAGGAUGGUACUUAUUGUCCCAAGGAUGACUCCUAUGUAGAAGGUCAGGAUGGUACCUAUGUGGAGGGGAACAGCCUGGAGGGGGAUGUGAGCAGCACUGGACAAUGCAAACACACCAGGUCACUGUACGGACCUGAGUCUGAGGAAAUGGUUAUGUAUAAUGAAAGACUAGAGACAGAUACAAAUCCCUGUAUCUCAUCUGAGCAUCAGUUCAGUGACAAUCCAUGUCAUGCCCCCAAGGCUGGAGACGAGGAGGAGAAAGGGAAUGUGGAGGUGC
Molecule: long non-coding RNA, 1802 nt
Organism: Oncorhynchus tshawytscha (Chinook salmon)
Lineage: Eukaryota; Metazoa; Chordata; Actinopteri; Salmoniformes; Salmonidae
Source: Ensembl